GUAUCAGCCAUUGUUACUCAGUAUAGGGGCAAUAUUGAGGCUAUAGGAAGUAUCAGCCAUUGUUACUCAGUAGAGGGGCAAUAUUGAGGCUAUAGGAAGUAUCAGCCAUUGUUACUCAGUAUAGGGGCAAUAUUGAGGCUAUAGGAAGUAUCAGCCAUUGUUACUCAGUAUAGGGGGGCAGUACUGAGGCUAUAGGAAGUAUCAGCCAUUGUUACUCAGUAUAGGGGGGCAGUACUGAGGCUAUAGGAAGUAUCAGCCAUUGUUACUCAGUAUAGGGGCAAUAUUAGGAAGGCUAUAGGAAGUAUCAGCCAUUGUUACUCAGUUUAGGGACAAUAUUGAGGCUAUAGGAAGUAUCAGCCACUGACAAAAAAUGUUUAUUCAUAUUAUUUUCCACUAAUUUUUUUAUCAUUGACUGCUCGUUUAAGCGUUAAACGUAUGAAUCUUCCUGUGACAGCCAUGUUUUCUAAAGGCUACGAAAGGUGUCAGAGAAAACUGUAACUGUGUCCAUUGUAAAGUAUGGCACUGAGAAUAGGAUGUGCUGGAAGAGAAAUGUAUUUGAUAUGUAAUUUAUUAUAAUUUUUUAUAUAUAUAAAUAUAUUUUAUAAAUAUGUAAAAGGAAAAUAUGGCAUUUUUAAAAAUUGAAUAUUCCUAUGAAAUGCUGUGUGCGCCGCGUCACUCCGCCAUUAGUUCUGUUCCUACAGGAGACUCUCCUUUAAAUCAAUAUUUAUGUGUUUGCUUUGUGUUUCGGACUUUGUUCCAGGAUCAUUAACUACAGUGAGAACUGUCGAGAAUUUAAAGUGAAAUUCAAGUUUUAGACCAAAGUAGCUAACCUGGACGUAUGGGUGACUUGGAGAAUUUUCCCAGUUCAGUUAUUUUAGCCCUAAAUUUGAAAUUAAUUUUGAAUUCACUUACAGUUUAAAUUUCUUUGGAAUUCCAGCACAUUCAAAGGAUAGAGCAGGGACUAGUUUGUCUCGUGUAACUGCUAAUCUUUCACAAAUGUUUUCCCCGCCAUUAUCCAUUGGUCGAGAUAGCUGAUGACACCAUUUAAUAAUAGAGCGAUGUUUAUUUCUUUCGGUUUGGUCCCCACUCCACCACUUCCACACAAGUGUACGGGUCACUAUGUAAAAACACGGACUCUAAAAGAGACAGUACAACUUUAAUACGGCCUCUGCGUUCAACAAAUGUCACGGUUACUGCUAUGUUUUUUUUUUCUUCAAUCAGUUAAAUUCCAGCAAUAAAUAGUAACUGUGUAUUUAAAUUUGCAGAAAUACGUUAAGUUUGUGUUUGAGCGCAGCGUUUGUGUUAAAUCAGGAAGCUAUAUAUUUUGGUCAGCGAUGCCCGAACAUUCACACAUAACUGUGUAUAUAUUUAUUUGUUUAUCCAAUAAACCCCUUAACGCAGAUUCCCCGCAGAUCGCUAUCUGAGCUUAUUCACUGAUGUGAGAAUUUAAAGUGAAUGCAAACUUUAAGGUCAAAGUAACCGAACUGGAAUAAGUGUGAGUGAGCUACAUUUUGUUUGGCUACUCUGGUCUUAAAUGGGAAAUUCACUCUGCAUAACCCUAUAUAAGCGGACACUGAGAAUCCUAUUCUAUGUGGAGUGUCAAUGUACGUAAUUAGAGAGAAAGACACCGGCCUCCAGUCUUGGAUGUUGUAACGAGGCUGAGGGUGAAUUUUAUGAAAUUGUCUGGUUUCCGUGUUUCAAAUUGUUUUACUUUCAUCAGGUAUUUACCAUAAAUAGAAACUUUGAGGAUCCGCAGACAGAUACCGGGUGAGCAGGAAAUACCUGUGAUUCACACGGCUUUGUGGUCAUUCACUAAGUGAUGUCACCAAAGUAAAUGAACCUAGAGAGCAGGAAAUCUGAUAGGAGGUGGGAUGGGACUAUGAACGAGGCACAAACAAGCCAACUCAGGAUGGUUGGAAUGAUCAAAUGAGGUUCUGAAUAAAUACACAACUUGUUACCACGUGUCUGUCCUAAAGUAUAAGUGUGGGCUAUCAGCUCCCAUCAGUUAAAUCGUGGUGGGACCGGAGACACCGGCCAUCCUGUUCAUAGGGAUCCAUGCCCUAGGGCAACAGGAAAACAAACGUUAACAGGGCUAUUUACAAAAUGAGAUUUCAAAGUGAAUUUCAGAGGCUACCCACAGCUGAACAGGAGGAUGUUAUAGAGUAAAAUAUUCCUAAUCCUAUAUUGAGCGGUAUACAGUCCAAGCACCAAAACCACUGCACAUUGUAGUGUUUACGGUGAUACAUAAUAAUAACAAAGUAUUUAACCAGGAAAAGUACAUUCAGAUUACUCUGGUUUUCAAGUACGUCCUGGGGGUGUUACCUUAGCUCAACAUCCAGGGGUUGUUACUAUUACCUAAUUUAGUGUGCCUGUUUAAGACGCACAGUCCCUAUUUUGAGCCCAAAUCCCUCUGUCCUCUCCUAAUGUCCCCCUUUUCUAUGAGCUCCAUAAUGUUGGUGUGUCUGAGUGUACCAGUGUGUCUGAGUAUAUUGCUCCACAGCAAUAAUACUCCCAGUAAUGUGCCUGAUUGUAUAACAGAGCUCCACAGCAAUAAUACUCCCAGUAAUGUGUCUGAGUGUAU
Molecule: non-coding RNA, 2581 nt
Organism: Pelobates cultripes (western spadefoot toad)
Lineage: Eukaryota; Metazoa; Chordata; Amphibia; Anura; Pelobatidae
Source: the annotation of a GenBank genome assembly